RNAcentral lists this transfer RNA (72 nucleotides) under Bos taurus (domestic cattle). It matches the Rfam family "tRNA". From Rfam's summary of the family: Transfer RNA (tRNA) molecules are approximately 80 nucleotides in length. Their secondary structure includes four short double-helical elements and three loops (D, anti-codon, and T loops). The record is from Rfam by way of RNAcentral. RNAcentral also lists the same sequence under 4 other names. Lineage: Eukaryota; Metazoa; Chordata; Mammalia; Artiodactyla; Bovidae.
UCCUUGGUGGCUCAGAUGGUAAAGAAUCCACCUGCAAUGCGGGAGACCCAGGUUCAAUCCCUGGUCGAGAAG